CAGUAGCCGCGGUAAUACAGAGGGUGCGAGCGUUAAUCGGAUUUACUGGGCGUAAAGCGUGCGUAGGCGGCUUCUUAAGUCGGAUGUGAAAUCCCUGAGCUUAACUUAGGAAUUGCAUUCGAUACUGGGAAGCUAGAGUAUGGGAGAGGAUGGUAGAAUUCCAGGUGUAGCGGUGAAAUGCGUAGAGAUCUGGAGGAAUACCGAUGGCGAAGGCAGCCAUCUGGCCUAAUACUGACGCUGAGGUACGAAAGCAUGGGGAGCAAACAGGAUUAGAUACCCAUGUAGUCCCUGUCUCUUAUAC
RNAcentral lists this ribosomal RNA (301 nucleotides) under uncultured bacterium. RNAcentral's name for it is "partial 16S ribosomal RNA". It matches the Rfam family "Bacterial small subunit ribosomal RNA", at positions 509 to 807 of the family's 1533-position model. The record is from RNAcentral.